This is a long non-coding RNA of Balaenoptera ricei (Rice's whale), 659 nucleotides long. RefSeq lists it as uncharacterized. The transcript is spliced from 4 exons. The record is from RefSeq and is a predicted model, not a curated record. NCBI's taxonomy places the organism in Eukaryota, Metazoa, Chordata, Mammalia, Artiodactyla, Balaenopteridae.
CCGCGGCGCUGGGACUGGCGCUAACCACCCGUUAGGCCGCUGUUACGAGACUUUGGAGGAAGAGGAGAUUCGGACACAGACACACACAGAGGGAGGACCAAGCGAGGACACAGGGAGAAGACGGCCUUCUACGAGCCGAGGAGAGAGAGACUUCAGAAGAAGCUGGCCCUGACAACACCUUGAUCUUGGCCUUCCAGCCUCCAGAACUGUAAGAAAAUCCAUUUCUGUUGUUUGCCCAGUCUGUGGUACUUCGUGAUGGCAGCCCCAGCAGACUCCCACACCUGCUCUCCCAGGCCUAGUAUAUAUUAGGCCCCCUGAUGCAGUGGAGGAGAUGUUGCAUGACCUCCAAACUGAAACCUUCCAGCUGCCAGCUGGGCUUCUUGGAUGCUCUUAGGACAUGCACCUCUGGGAACCCAGCCAUCAUGUUAUGAAGUUCAAGCUACAUGGACAGGCCAUGUGUGUGCUCUGUUCAACAGCCCCAGUUUUCUCCUCUCUGACACCAUGUGCUAAGAAGUUUACCGUCUUCGUGUCCCUGGACUCUCAGCUUCGUCUUCUUAGUGCAGCAAACCUACCAGGCCUCCACCUGAGUUUCCCUUCCUGGAGAUUGUCUCAAGAUAAAGAGCCGCAGCAACUGCAUGGUUCACAUCAUUUGUCUCCUA